Pantherophis guttatus is the source of this 3491-nucleotide non-coding RNA. Lineage: Eukaryota; Metazoa; Chordata; Lepidosauria; Squamata; Colubridae. The record is from RefSeq and is a predicted model, not a curated record.
GAAGAAAAACAUUAAUAAGACGCCCAAAUAAUAACUCUUGUUAUAUAAUCAAAUUAAUGACCCUGUGAGAACAAAUCUGAGUGGGAAGAACCAAGAAGGCAGCUGAUCCCAGCCGAACAGAAGGAUUGGCUUACGGUGUGCCAGCUCGGCUUUCAGGGCACGCAGGUUGUAAAGCGAUUGCAUAAAUCCAUCAGCUGAGCAUGGAAAUGAAGGAUGGAGCCAGCCAGGGUCACCUGCAGCCGGAUCUUCUCCAGGCCAUUUAGCUGCUGGAUGGAGUCCUCACCUUAGGAGCCAGGGACGAGUUUUCUGAAGAAUGAGCAAAGGAGAAGAAGAAACAUUUUGCUUGCUCUCUUUUCAUGAAAGGAAGCAAAAGGGGCACAGAAAACAGCCUCCAUGUAAAUGAACAUCAGAUUGAGAUCGUUGUGACUUCCCUGCCAGCAGCAAAAAGCUACCGAAGGAGAAAGCAUGGGGCAAGACUUACAAGGUCCCAUUUAGAAGACGCUCCUAAACACGGACCAUUACACUCUUUCAAUGGUUUGCCUUUUUUUUCCCCACUGUUUAAAAAAUGUCUCCUGUUUUAAUUUGAUCAGUGCCAAAUCUGCAAUGUUUCAUUUCUAACGAAUCCUAGCUCUGGAUGCACCUAGGUGGGUUCCCCCCCCCCCCACUUCAAGAGAUGCUGCUGAGUGUUUGGAGAAACUGAGGCCCUCCACUCUGCCCUCUUGCUGCUGGGAUUUACACCUACCUAAGGGAGAACAGAAUUGCUUCCUUUGUAGGCUUAAACUCAUCUUUUCAUAUGAAUGUUUCUCCAGAGAAGUUCCCACAAAUGCAUCUCUCUGUUUUUUCUUCUUUUUUUUGCAACUUUUCAUCAACUCAUUGGAAAAAUAAUAGGUCCAAUUGGCAAAUGACACAAAUCAUAUUGUCAUCCAAACUAAUCUAAUCUCCAAGCUAAUCUUAGAGGCAGCAAUAAAGUUUAAAAUGAUUUUGAGAGACUAAAGGAGUAGGUUGAGGAAAUUGAAUGGAACCAACUAGAAAAUAAAUGCAGGUAGCUCCUAAAUUCCAAGAACAGGCCUCAAAUAUUUGGGGCUCUCGACUUUUAAAAUUCAGAGAAGUCAAAACAGAGAAAGAGAAGGGCAACGAGCAUCAUCAACAGACUGGAAAUUAAACAAUACAAGGAGAAGGUGAGGACAGAGAGAUAUUUAGUUUGGAAAGAAAUGGCAAAGAGAAUAUAUGAUAGUGUUCUUCAGUUACCUGAUGAGAAGCCAGACAGAAGAAAACAGAGACCUAUUCCCUCUCAUCCCAGGGUGCGGGAUAUGGAACAAGACCUAAAGUUAUAGGGAGGCCAAUUCCAGUUGAAUGGUAAAAGCAUUUCCCAACAAAAAGAAGAGCUGAAUAGUGGAGCCAAUGAUUUAGGAAGGUUGUAGAUGCAGGUUGGAUUAAUCGUCUGAGCGUCCCUUUCCAACUUUAUGCUUCUACUAUUUUCAUUGAAAAUAAACCAGGCCAAAGCAAUGAAUCAACAAAAGGCAGUUUUGGCUUGUAAAGGUUUUGGUUUAGUUACUAGUUUAUUUACUUCCUAUUUUCUUCUUUUAUUUCUUUUCCAUUUGCACACCAGCCAUUCCCUGGCAGCAGGCUAGAGAAGGCCAGGAAUUGUUGCUCCUUUGUUCCAAACAUCAUCAUAAAUACCUAGAUAAUGCCAAAAUUUGACAGCAACGGGACUUUUUCUUUGCUAUUAUUAAUUUCCAUACAGUCAUAGAUGAGAAAUUAAGAUUAAAGUCAGAACAAGAUGCUUCAAGGCAAAUUAUUGGGUGCAAAUAUCAUUAAAAAAUGAAGCAACAUGCUUAUCAUCAAGCAUCAUUUAUCCAAAUCUAUUAAUGAUGAUACAGAGAAUCUUAAUAGUUCUUUUCAUAGCACAAAAUGUUGCAAAUUUUUCCAGAGAUUCUGAUAUACCAAUACUUUAAUUAAAAAACUUAAAAUCUAUGAAUAGGGUCGAUUCACACAAUUGCUAAUAUUGGGAAACAUUAACGCACCCUGCUAGAUAAAGGUGUAAAGGACAACCCUGUGUCCUUGUCUUGGUGCUCAAAUAGACAGCUGUCACUAAUGAGAGCUGUGAUUUGAUUUCCCCUCCAAGACCUUCGAAGAGAAAGGCAUCCCGUCUCUUGCAAAUGUCCUCCUUGAAGAGCAGGAAGGGAGUUAUAAAAAUACCGUGGGAUGGUCUAAGGGAGCCACUGACGUCAUAUUAAUGAUGAUUGAAAGUUUGAAAUCUGUUCUGUAAAUUGAUAUCAUAAUUUAUCAAUUUAUACAUGAUGUGUAUAAAUUCUAAACGGAGAUGAAUUCUCUAGCAAGAAAACAAUUAAAAUAGGAACUAGCCAUGCAUAUUUGAUUAUAAAACUGGAAUUCUGUAUCAAAUAACUCAAAAUGUCCUAAUUGGUAGUUUUCUGGUUGGUCGGCUUCUUGACCAGACAGCGACAUACUUAAGCACGAAUACACCCUGACUUUGGGCAAAUAUUUCCAGGGAAUAAAUCGGUCACACUUUAUAAUGAGGGAGAGCGAGAGGGAGGGAUGGCUGACUCCUGUUUGAUCAGCAAAACCAGAUGUUCCCUUCCCUUGGACAGCAGCAGGGAUGAGGUCAUUGGGAAAUGAAUCCAGGAGAAAUAAUUGCACAGGGCUGCAUUUGUUUGGACUGCAAGAUGAUAUGUCCAAAAAGAUAGUUUCAAAUAGCAAAAAUAAACAUUUGUACAAUCCUUGCUUUCAGUUGGUUCCUGGUUUGGGUGGGUCAUGUUGCUGAGAAGCCGCUAGGAAAGCAGGCAUAGCCCAUUGAGAAAGAGUGCAAGAAACACCAUAAUUAACUUUCCAUCUUAUCUAAUCGGCAGUAUCUAAACUAAGGCUGCCCGUGUAGGUGACUGCGCACAUCCAGACAUCUCCCGGAGCUUCGCAGGGCUUGCUUCUGUUAGUAAGUUUGCUCACGUGAAUUGCAACCUGACAGUUUAUUCCAAAACCCUUUUGACUGGCGGCACAGAGUGGUCUGGUUUUCCUUCUGUUGACACAAAAAUGUUGUAAAAUGUUUGCACUGAAUCCCUUGCUAGUUGUUCAUCAGCUCCAUAAUAGGCUAAUCCCAAAUAGCUGAGAGGUUAUUUUCUUACAGUGAUUUCAUUCAUACAAAUCUUUACAGGUUUUUUUAAAUCCUUAAACUACCUUCCUUAUACUGAUCUGUAUAAAUACAGAUAUUUAUAUAUCUGUUCCUUUCAAAUCCCCAAAAUUUCCCUCUGACCAUUCCAGCGAUAGAUCUAUCUAAAGUCUCCACAACAACCUAGUAGUGAAUCUCCAACAGAUUCCAAUAGAUCUCAUACGUGUCAGUUUCAUUGUGCAUAAUUAUGUUUCCAUGUACACCAUUAGCUAAUUAAUGUACGUUUUAGCUAUAUAUACUUGAAGUUUACAAUUAUUGUUAAUUACAAAGUCUACAUUUUGGGGAAAAAAUAAAAAUAAUUACAUCUUCA